GCGGGGAUUUCGACAGUGUGUAUUAGGAAGUAUAUCUAUGUGGUGUAUGGAAUAUGCGUUUGCCUACCAUGCCAGGCAGUGUGACAAGGGAUAUCCCAGCGGAUGUAAUAUUCCUACAGCAGAAAUGUUUCACAACCUCGAUUGCAGGGAGCUGAAGACGUGACAUAUUCAGACAGAGACCAUAAUACAUAGACUGUUAUAUGGUCUCUGAUUCAGGUGUGAAGAAUCAAGAACAAAUUAAAUGACAGGAGUUUUGCAACAGUGAACAUUGUGAAGUGGAAGAUAAGACAUUUGAAAGGUACCUGGAUUUCACAAUCUGACACCAGCUACAUUUAAGAAGAUCUUGCUCACACAA
Molecule: long non-coding RNA, 355 nt
Organism: Haliotis rufescens (red abalone)
Lineage: Eukaryota; Metazoa; Mollusca; Gastropoda; Lepetellida; Haliotidae
Exons: 3
Source: RefSeq, a predicted model, not a curated record